RNAcentral lists this ribosomal RNA (253 nucleotides) under uncultured bacterium. RNAcentral's name for it is "partial 16S ribosomal RNA". It matches the Rfam family "Bacterial small subunit ribosomal RNA", at positions 524 to 776 of the family's 1533-position model. The record is from RNAcentral.
UACAGAGGGUGCAAGCGUUGUUCGGAAUUAUUGGGCGUAAAGCGUCCGUAGGUGGCUAGUCAAGUCUGCGGUCAAAGACUGGGGCUUAACCCUGGAAAGGCCGUGGAAACUGACGAGCUAGAGUGCAGUAGGGGUAGAGGGAAUUCCCGGUGUAGCGGUGAAAUGCGUAGAGCUCGGGAAGAACAUCGGUGGCGAAAGCGCUCUACUGGACUGCAACUGACACUCAGGGACGAAAGCUAGGGGAGCGAAUGGG